AUUGCUUUUCGGUCUUUUGGUUAAGAUCAAGUGUGGUGUCUAUUCUUAUUAAUUUAAUAUCUGGUAUGUUCUGUAAAUGGAAGUGUUGUUUCAAACAAUUUUUUUUUUUUUUUUUAGGAUAGGGAUCUGGGAUAGGGGUUUGCUCCUAUCAACCUGAUGCUGUAGUAUCUUCAGGAAUAAUGCCU
This is a small nuclear RNA of Neoarius graeffei (lesser salmon catfish), 185 nucleotides long. RefSeq annotates it as U2 spliceosomal RNA. The record is from RefSeq and is a predicted model, not a curated record. Lineage: Eukaryota; Metazoa; Chordata; Actinopteri; Siluriformes; Ariidae. The transcript has a single exon.